CAGUGUCAGAGGAAGACACUGCAGCUGCUGAGUCCACAGCAGAGUAUGCUACAGUGACAAGAAACAGGAAGAAGAAAGAUGAAGCAGCAUCCUCUUCCAGACAGAUUUACUACACUUUGGGCCAGACUGACACUCAACUACAAGAACUGGGAACAUCCGGCGUUACGGUCAGAUCGGCUCCCUCAUCGGGUACCGUCCAGGUUUCAUCAGAGGAUUCCUUCUAUUCUACAAUACGC
Acanthochromis polyacanthus (spiny chromis) is the source of this 236-nucleotide long non-coding RNA. RefSeq lists it as uncharacterized. The record is from RefSeq and is a predicted model, not a curated record. The transcript has 3 exons. Lineage: Eukaryota; Metazoa; Chordata; Actinopteri; Pomacentridae.